This is a long non-coding RNA of Aegilops tauschii subsp. strangulata, 2163 nucleotides long. RefSeq lists it as uncharacterized. The record is from RefSeq and is a predicted model, not a curated record. NCBI's taxonomy places the organism in Eukaryota, Viridiplantae, Streptophyta, Magnoliopsida, Poales, Poaceae.
GGCUAGAUUUAGUAUAUUAAGAAUUUAUUAAUUCUGAUCCAUGUCGAGCGGCGAACAAAUCCAGUAGGUGUUGAGCGUUCGUGCGAUUUCUUCCUGCUUGCCCCGAUUUCAUGUUUUGCUCGGCCGCGCCUCCUCCCUCUGUCCAUGUUUCAAAGUAGCUCAGGCGCGGCGUCUACUCGCUUAAUGUUUUAAAGCAGAAGAUGAGGAUGUAUAGCCCCGCCGAGCAAUCGCCUAUGCCGAAUCAGGUUGUUUUGGAGCUGUAGAUGAAGAUUUGGUAGCAGAUCAGAAAAUUUGCCGGUGAAGGUCACAUAAUAGAUCUUGCUGAUUAUGUAGUUGCAUAAAGAAAUUGACUUGACUCACAGUGUGCUACAUCAUACUAGAUAUUUGGUUCCAUGAACACUUACUUCAUUUUAUAUGAAUGAAUCAGAUUGCCAGUUAGUUUUUACUCACAAUUGAUUGUUGUUGUUUUGCUGAAGAGUUUGUGACAAAAAAGAUAAUUGUUACAGCUGAGAGCAUAGACAAAUCUUAUGUCGUAACAGGUUUGGAGUUACGCUGAGAAUCAAAAUGUCAAGGCUCAAAAAACUAGAUGCUGCCUUCAACUAUGUUCCUUUGUCCAUCUCCUCAAAUACUCUAUAUCAUGUUCCUUUCAGCGGUUAGAUAUUUUUAGUGACAAUAUGUCAGCGGUCGAUCUCAUUGGAGUUUUCCUUUGGUGUGUAGUCAUCUCUUAUACUGGCCAUAAAUUAGUACAUAUAAAUUCAAUUUAUAUGUACAAGAUUCCUGCUCUAUGGCAUUUAUGGUUAGUGAUAUGUAACAGUGAGCUGCCGUAUCUUGUUUUCAUCCAGUUAGCAAAGCAUCAUUUUCAUUUUUGAGAAGAGUUGAUGAUAGCCCAGUUUAUAAACUUACUCCAGAUUGGACCGAUGUUGAUAAUUCUUAUUCUUUUGUUAGAUAUAUGGGUCAAUAGAUUUUGUGAUUUGACUCCCUGAUAGUCUAAGUUGCUUCAGUUUUGUACCUAGAUCAGAUUGUAUUUAGGCAGCACACUGUACAAGCAUUUUCAGAUGUACAGGAUGGUAGACGUGCAUAUCAUGCGGGUCUCCUCCUCUGCAGUAUUGCGCAGCCGUUUCAAUUUUGAAUUGGCAUUAGACUGGACUAUAAGAUGUUUAAUGCCUGCAAGCAUGGCCUAAUUUAUUAACAAAGAGAACUCUAUAUCCUACUACAAAUUCGUGUGUGAAAUGAGCUGACAAUAGGAUUAUCGACUACUCCAUAGGUUUGCUGGGCAAUUGCCAUUCUUUUUUAAUGGCAGUUCUAUAGGCCUUGUUGGAGAAGGAAAUUUCCCCCUUUGUCGUGUUCUUAUGUCAAAUAUAUCGUGUUUAUUUUUUUCAUAACGAUCACAUUAUAUUGAUAAUUUAUAAUCCACCAAGUUCUUGCCAGAAAAGAUGAUGAAAAGAUAAAUAGAACUUUUGUUUUUGAAAUUUACACCUAUUUGCAAGGCCCCAUAUGAAUACAUUAUCGAUGCAGUACUGUUAUUGUUCGUGAUUCUUUUAUUACAUUUCUUUUGCUCUUUGAGUGAGGAGCUUGAAAAGAAUAUAUCUCAAGCGCACUGUAUGAGGCUUUAGAAGGAAAUACAUACGAGACUUCAGGAAGAAGGGAAGACAGAACAGGCUAGGAAAGACUUUGGUAAGGUGUAGGACUGAUUUUUCUCUACUGUUCUAUGGUAUCCCUUCUAUAGUUUGUUCUGCACAUGUACCUUGCACUUGGUACAGAUCAUGAUGAUAUUUUCCAUUAUAUUUUUGUCAAUGGAACAACUAGCUAGAAGAAACGGCUUACCAUGUUCCCAUUUGAGUCUUGUGUGCAAGCCUAUAUUGUAUACUAUCUGUCCAUAGUAUAAUUAACUAGAAGAAACGGCCAACCAUUCUUCUAUUGGAAUCUCAAGUGCAAGGCCAUAUUAUGAAAUGAUAUAAGCAUGUCAGAUUCAAGGAAGUUGCUGAUCUGAUGUCACGUUACACUAUUUGUCCUCCCCGAAGUACUAAAAAACAGAAAUAAUGCAUUUUCCUAUAAGUAAUCAUUUUAUUUUUUAUUGUACUGCGUAAAUGUAUGAUGUUAUCAUAUACUAUUUCAUAGAAUGAUCACCGUGGUUGCCGUUUGGUAUCUUUGUUUAGUAUUGCA